This is a long non-coding RNA of Hordeum vulgare subsp. vulgare (domesticated barley), 377 nucleotides long. RefSeq lists it as uncharacterized. The transcript is spliced from 2 exons. Lineage: Eukaryota; Viridiplantae; Streptophyta; Magnoliopsida; Poales; Poaceae. The record is from RefSeq and is a predicted model, not a curated record.
AUGAAGAGUAGGGACGACGCGGCUACCUGCUACUGGUCCGGCGGCGGCUCCGGUCGCUAGAUUCAGGAAAUCGUCUAAAGUGCUCCAACCAGUCUCUUUUGAAUCUCCAUCCAUGUUGAAGUUCCACUCUUCCCAAUUCCCAACGAUGAUGCAAUCCAUGUUGGCUGAUGAGGAGGUCGUUCAGUCGCCUCAAAUCAUGCCAAGAGCAAACUGCAAUUCACAUUGGAAUAUAUGUGCAGAAGGAGGCACAUCGAAUGCAGUUUGAAAGAUGUGUUCAACUGUUUUAGCUGCCUCACAAAUUUUACAGAAAUUAUGAUUGCUAUUCUGACAUUGCUUUUUACCAUAUGAAAUAUUUUGUGUUCAGUUUUCCCUUGAAA